GCCCCAAUCCUGUCGCAAUCGCACUGGUCACAUUGUUAGCAGUUGGGAUAAUAAGUGGCGGUAUAUUCUGUGCAGUUAAAAUAAGAACAUGUGGAGCCUGCAUGCAAAGUGAAGAAGACCAACAUUAUGCUGAUGUGAACUUUCAGAGAUUGGUUGGGGAUAUACCGGUAUCUGGCACCGGAGGAGUCUGUUCACCAGAGGAGUCUGUUUUGUACGCAGAUGUCAGAAUCUCACCUUCUGUUCAGACAGGACUGGAUUCAAUCACUCCUCUCUCAAAGCUGUGACCUUGGCGUGGUUUAGAGGCUUGUGUGUCUCAAUGACCCUGAGAGCUACGCCGGAGGGGGCUUUGGCCCCUGGUAGGUUUGGCCAUUCCGGAUUGGUCUCCGGUGAGGGGCCAGACCAACGACAGCAUUGGUCCUACAUGUUUCACGUUGACAUGGUGCUAUAGGUAUGCAACUAUACCACUCUGACAAUGUUACAUGCUGUGUGUACAGUUGAAGUCGGAAGUUUACAUACACUUACGUUGUAGUCAUUAAAACCCAUUUUUCAACCACUCCACAAAUGUAUUGUUAACAAACUAUAGUUUUGGCAAGUCGGUUUGGACAUCUACUUUGUGCAUGACACAAAUACUUUUUCCAACAAUUGUUUUCAGACAGAUUAUUUCACUUAUAAUUCACUGUAUCACAAUUCCAGUGGGUCAGAAGUUUACAUACACUAAGUUGACUGUGAUUUUAAACAGUUUGGAAAAAUCCUGAAAAUGAUGUCAUUGCUUUAGAGCAGGGGUGUCAAAGUCAAAUGGACGGAGGGCCAAAUAAAAAUUUUAGCUACAAGCCGAGGGCCGGACUGUUCGAAUGUUCAUUGAAAAAUUUUUAAAUGACGCAUAUAGUCUAGUGAACCUAAUUGAACCUACUGAAAACCUAACAAAUAUAUUCCAAUAUGAUCAGAUAAAUAAAGCAAUAUUUUCUUAUGGCUCUGUCAGUAAUCUUUAAUUUUCAACAGACACAAAAGACAAAUUUCCUUUAUAUAAAAAUCCCCAUAACAUGAACAUUAAAUGAAAGAAACCGGUAUUCA
Molecule: long non-coding RNA, 1071 nt
Organism: Salvelinus fontinalis (brook trout)
Lineage: Eukaryota; Metazoa; Chordata; Actinopteri; Salmoniformes; Salmonidae
Exons: 3
Source: RefSeq, a predicted model, not a curated record